Molecule: ribosomal RNA, 479 nt
Filed under: uncultured bacterium
Lineage: Bacteria
Description: bacterial SSU rRNA
Rfam family: Bacterial small subunit ribosomal RNA
Source: RNAcentral
GCGACAGGCCUAACACAUGCAAGUCGAGGGGCAGCAUGGUAUCAGCUUGCUGAUACCGAUGGCGACCGGCGCACGGGUGAGUAACGCGUAUGUAAUCUGCCUGUAACAGAGGGGAUAACCCGGAGAAAUCCGGCCUAAUACCUCAUAGCACAUAUUAUUCGCAUGAGUUUUAUGUUAAAGAGACUCGGUUACAGAUGAACAUGCGUUCCAUUAGCUGGUUGGCGGGGUAACGGCCCACCAAGGCGACGAUCAGUAGGGGUUCUGAGAGGAAGGUCCCCCACAUUGGAACUGAGACACGGUCCAAACUCCUACGGGAGGCAGCAGUGAGGAAUAUUGGUCAAUGGACGAGAGUCUGAACCAGCCAAGUAGCGUGCAGGAUGACGGCCCUAUGGGUUGUAAACUGCUUUUAUAAGGGAAUAAAGUGGGAGUCGUGACUCUUUUUGCAUGUACCUUAUGAAUAAGGACCGGCUAAUUCCGUG